AUAUUUGUAAGGAAAAUUUUAAAAUAAUAUAUUUUGUUUAUUGUUUUAGUGAAUGGAUGUGAUUCUUCGUGAAAGGAUGCAAUCCUUAGUGAAUGGAUGCAACUCUUAGUGAAUGGAUGCAACCCUUAGUGAGUGGAUGCAACUCUAAUCAAAGGGUAUGACUCUUAAAGUGAAAGGAUGUGACUUUUAGUGAAAGAAUAUGAUAUGAAAAGACACAUCUUUAUAGUGUGUCUCUUCGUACAUAUGCCCGUUGGAAUCAAUGGUUAUAUUCAUUGAACUUGAUUCAUAUAACUAUUUGGUAGUUAUGAUCAAAUGAAAAGUCACAAUCGAAAGGUCACUUCACGAAACACCCUUUCGUGAAUAGUUACUUCAUGAAGCACCCGUUCGUGGCCUAUAUAAGUCCAUAGCAUUGGUUGCAGAAGGAGACAGACAGAAAACAGUUGAAGAGUUGAAGUCUUCAUUCAUAAUAAUUCCAUUCUUGUUUUAUAUUCUAUUUCUUUUGACAACUUAAUCGAGUGAGUGCUCAAAGGCUCGACUUCGUGUGUGCAAACGCAGUUGAGGUUUACGCUUCAUUGUAUCCUGGGAGGUUGUUCGUUGACCCGGUGCACACCAAAUUGUUAGAACGGUGGGGACGGAUUAAGCCUUAAGGAAAGUGGCAUUGCUACACGCCUUGAAGCCUUUUUAAUCUUUCUAUUUCAUACCUUUAUCACAAUCUGUUCCAACAAUCUUAAGGCUUAAAACCGAAAAUGUCGACUGCUACUCUACGAGAGAUGGCAACAAACUUUAUGAGACUAGAAAGAUUUGAUGGCAUGGACUUCAGACGCUGGCAGAAGAAAUUAUUUUUCCUUCUGUCGACUCUCAAAGUUGCUUAUGUCCUCACUACUCCAAGACCAGAAGAAAACGAUGAUGAACCUGUUGCACAAACUCGUACAAGACAAAAAUGGGAUGAAGAUGACAAUAUAUGCCGAGGCAAUAUUCUAAAUGCUAUGUCGGAUGCGCUUUUCGACGUCUAUCAAAAUGUGAAAACGGCUAAAGAACUGUGGGAAGGCCUUGAAGAAAAAUACAAAUCCGAGGAUGCCACAAGUAAGAAGUUUCUUGUUAGCAAAUUUAAUAACUAUAAAAUGGUUGAUAGUAGAUCUGUUCUAGAUCAAUUACAUGAAAUUCAACAUAUUCUCAAUCAAUUUACUCAACAUAAUAUGAAUAUGGAUGAAUCUAUAAUUGUGGCCUCUAUAAUCGAUAAACUUCCUCCAUCAUGGAAAGACUUUAAGAAAAGUCUUAAACAUAGAAAGGAAGAGAUUACUCUUAAAGAUUUGGCUAACCAUCUUCGCAUAGAAGAAGAAUAUCGUUUGCAAGAUAGCAAAAAGGAGCAAGAUGCUCAGAGUGCCAAAGUGUAUGUGACGGAAGAUGAGUAUAGUAAAACCCGUCAACCCACAAAAGAAAAUCGAAAGAGAGCUAAGCAUCCGAUCAACCACAACAUGACAAAUAAGAAAAAGAAAGGUGCAUGCUUUCAUUGUGGUAAACCAGGCCACUACAAGAAAGAAUGUCGGUUCCUCAAAAAGGAAAGUGCACCGGAUUCCAAAAGAAAUUUUGUGGCUAUGAUAUCCGAGGCUAAUAUACUCGAAGAUGACGGAGCUUGGUGGAUUGAUUCGGGUUCCACAAGGCAUGUGUGCAAGGAUAAAAGUUUAUUCAAAACUUAUGAUGCAUUGGAGGAUGGAAACGUUCUCUAUAUGGGCAAUUCUUCAACAGCACAAAUCAAAGGAAAGGGCAAGGUGGAACUCGAGUUCACAUCAGGAAAAACUCUCACUCUCACCGAUGUGUAUCAUGUACCUGAAGUUAGGAAGAAUCUUAUUUCAGGAAGUCUUCUUAACAAAUUUGGGUUCAAACUUGUAUUUGAGGCCGACAAAUUUAUUUUGUCGAAGGGUGGAAUCUUUGUGGGAAAAGGAUAUUUGUAUGAGGGCAUGUUCAAACUCAAUCUUAUUAAUAAAAUAAAUAUUUCAGCCUAUAUUAUUGACUCUUCUUCUUUAUGGCAUAAUCGUUUAGGACAUGUUAAUUAUAGAAAAUUACAAGAUAUGGCUAAGUUAGAGUUAAUUCCUAAUUUUGAUAAUAAAUUAGAAAAAUGUAAUACUUGCAUGCUCACUAAAAUUACUAGAAAGUCUUUUCCUAAAAUUGAUAGAUGUUCUAAUCUACUUGAGUUGGUACAUAGUGAUGUUUGUGACUUGCAUGCUUCUCCUUCUAUUGGUGGAAAGAAAUAUUUUGUUACAUUUAUUGAUGAUUUUUCUAGAUAUAGUUAUGUUUAUCUUUUGCAUUCUAAAAAUGAAGCGCUAGAUAAAUUUAGAAUUUAUAAAUCUGAAGUUGAGGUGAAAUGUGAGAAAAUGGUCAAAUGCCUAAGAACAGACAGAGGAGGAGAAUAUUAUGAUCCUUCAUUUUUUGAGUCCAUUGGUAUUAUACAUGAAACCUCUGCACCUUAUACUCCACAACAAAACGGAGUUGCAGAAAGAAAAAAUAGAACAUUAAUGGAAAUGGUCAAUGCUAUGCUUUCUAACUCUGGGUUAAGUUAUGGAUUUUGGGGCGAAGCUUUAUUAACAGCUUGCCAUCUACUAAAUAGAAUCCCAACAAAAAAGAAUGAUAAAACUCCUUAUGAAUUAUUCAAGGGAAGAAAGCCCAAUUUAAAUUAUUUAAAAGUUUGGGGUUGUAGAGCUAUUGUGAGGGUUCCAGAACCGAAAAGAAAGAAACUGGGUGAAAGAGGAAUUGAGUGCAUAUUUAUUGGGUAUGCACAACAUAGUAAAGCAUACAGAUUUUACGUGAUUGAAUCUAAUGACUUCAUUGAGAUCAACACAGUUUUUGAAUCUAAAGAUGCUAUAUUUGAUGAAAACAGAUUUGUAUCAAUUCCUAGACCCAAAGAACUUAUUGUGAGUAAAGAACACUCCAAUGAGAAAAAUGAUGUUGCAAUUGAAACCCCAGAACUUAGAAGGAGUAAAAGAGUUAGAAUUGCUAAAACAUUUGGACCAGAUUUUUAUACUUUUCUUGUUGAGGGUAGUAGAGAAAUGAUUACAGAAAGUUUCCAAUUUUGUUUAAACAUUGACUCAGACCCCACAACAUUUGAGGAGGCAAUGAAAUCUCCUGAUGUCGCUUUUUGGAAAGAAGCGAUAAAUGAUGAAAUGGACUCAAUUAUGACAAACCAAACAUGGAAAUUAGUUGAUCUUCCUCCUGGAUGUAAACCUAUUGGGUGUAAAUGGAUUUUCAAAAAGAAAAUCAAUGUAAAUGGCACCAUAGAUAAAUUCAAGGCAAGACUUGUUGCCAAAGGGUUUACACAAAAAGAAGGCAUUGAUUAUUUUGAUACCUAUGCACCUGUUGCCAGAUUAGCGACUAUUAGAACUUUGAUUGCUCUUGCUUCAAUGUAUAAUUUGAUUAUUCAUCAAAUGGAUGUCAAAACAGCAUUCUUAAAUGGAGAAUUAGAUGAAGAAGUUUAUAUGGAACAGCCCGAGGGCUUUGUUGUUCCUGGACAAGAGCACAAAGUGUGUAAACUUAUCAAGUCGUUGUAUGGGCUUAAACAAGCACCUAAACAAUGGCAUCAAAAGUUUGAUCAGAUUGUUCUUUCCAAUGGUUAUAAAAUUAAUCAAUCUGAUAAAUGUGUUUAUAGUAAAUUUUCAAAUGGUAAAGGUGUUAUUAUAUGUCUAUAUGUUGAUGACAUGUUAAUUUUUGGCACCGAUGUUCAGCAAGUAGAAAAUACUAAAAAUUUUUUAUCUUGCAAUUUUGAUAUGAAAGAUAUGGGGGAGGCUGAUAUUAUUUUGGGAAUUAAAAUUAUUCGUGAAAAUAAUGGAUUAUUUUUAACACAGUCUCAUUAUAUCGAAAAGAUUCUUAGAAAAUUUGGUUAUUUUGAUUGUACUCCAGUAUCAACUCCUUUUGAUCCUAAUCUAAAACUAGUUCGUAAUACUGGUAGAUCAAUUAAUCAGUUAGAAUAUUCUAAGAUUAUUGGAAGUUUGAUGUAUGCCAUGUCUUGUACUAGGCCUGAUAUUGCAUUUGCUGUUGGUAAAUUAAGUAGAUUUACUAGCAAUCCAGGUAAUGUACAUUGGCAUGCUAUUUACAGAAUUUUGAAAUAUUUGAAAAAGACAAUGGACUAUGGAAUUUUCUAUAGUGGAUAUCCAACAGUAUUGGAAGGCUAUACAGAUGCCAGUUGGAUAACAGAUCAAGAAGAUCAUGCAUCCACAAGUGGGUGGAUAUUUAUAUUAGGUGGAGGUGCGAUUUCUUGGGGUUCUAAGAAACAGACAUGUAUAGCGGACUCUACCAUGGCAGCAGAAUUUAUAGCACUAGCGUCUGCUAGUAAGGAGGCGGAAUGGAUAAGGAAUUUAUUAUAUGAAAUUCCAGUUUGGCCAAAACCAAUGCCGCCGGUAUCGCUACAUUGCGAUAGUGAAGCUACGCUCUCAAGAGCAUAUAGUCAAACAUACAAUGGGAAGUCAAGACAUAUUGGAUUAAGACAUAGCUAUGUAAAACAACUGAUAUCAGAUGGCAUAAUUACCAUUGAUUUUGUAAGAUCAAACCAAAAUCUUGCGGAUCCGUUGACUAAGGGACUUCCAAGAGAAUUGAUAUUCAGGACAUCGAUGGGGAUGGGUCUCAAGCCCAUAUUACAAAGUCACCAAUGAUGGAAACUCGACUUAACACUUGAAACAUCAUCAAGUCUUAAGUUCAAUGAGCCAAAGUACAUCAUAUGGAGUGAUUGCAAGCACUAUAAUAUAAAAUUUCCAUCCCAAGUAAAGUGCUUGGUAUCCGUAUUGAAAAGGGAAGGUUGAACUAAUAAAGUUCUUAAUAGACCUACAGUAGUAUUUACUGAAGUGUUAAAUACGGGACACUUCUGGUAGAGUCUACCUAUAUGAAUGUGAAGUGUGGCCGCUUCUAGGAGUUAAGGGCUUGACUCUAACAGCAUUCAUGAAACAGGAUGCGGACACAAGGCCAUAAAAGUGUCAGCAAUAAAAUAGAGCACUCGACUGAUUAUAAAUUUCUAUGUGUGAGAUAUGUCCGGUUAGUCGAAAAUAAUUGUUGGUUCAAAGCUUGUCUACCAUUCAAUUAUGACUAACUUUGAUGUGUUUUCACUAAGUGUAGGUUCAAGUUUUAAUACACCUACACCUAUGCAUACGGUUUUGUCAAGUUGUCAAGAAUUUUGAUUUUGAUUUUUGAUUUUGUUUUAUUUUGCUUUUUGAUGUAUUUUUAUGUAUUUUAAAAUUUGGUGGGGAAUUGUAAGGAAAAUUUUAAAAUAAUAUAUUUUGUUUAUUGUUUUUAGUGAAUGGAUGUGAUUCUUCGUGAAAGGAUGCAAUCCUUAGUGAAUGGAUGCAACUCUUAGUGAAUGGAUGCAACCCUUAGUGAGUGGAUGCAACUCUAAUCAAAGGGUAUGACUCUUAGAGUGAAAGGAUGUGACUUUUAGUGAAAGAAUAUGAUAUGAAAAGACACAUCUUUAUAGUGUGUCUCUUCGUACAUAUGCCCGUUGGAAUCAAUGGUUAUAUUCAUUGAACUUGAUUCAUAUAACUAUUUGGUAGUUAUGAUCAAAUGAAAAGUCACAAUCGAAAGGUCACUUCACGAAACACCCUUUCGUGAAUAGUUACUUCAUGAAGCACCCGUUCGUGGCCUAUAUAAGUCCAUAGCAUUGGUU
RNAcentral lists this long non-coding RNA (5641 nucleotides) under Ananas comosus (pineapple). RNAcentral's name for it is "long non-coding RNA (ACOM_LNC001489)". The record is from RNAcentral. Lineage: Eukaryota; Viridiplantae; Streptophyta; Magnoliopsida; Poales; Bromeliaceae.